UACGUAGGGGGCUAGCGUUGUCCGGAUUUAUUGGGCGUAAAGAGCGUGUAGGCGGCCAGGUAGGUCUGCUGUGAAAACUCGAGGCUCAACCUCGAGACGUCGGCGGAAACCAUCUGGCUAGAGUCCGGAAGAGGAGAGUGGAAUUCCUGGUGUAGCGGUGAAAUGCGCAGAUAUCAGGAGGAAUACCGGUGGCGAAGGCGGCAUCCUGGACCAUUACUGACGCUGAGGCGCGAAAGCUAGGGGAGCAAACGGG
This 253-nucleotide ribosomal RNA is filed under the name uncultured bacterium. Its description in RNAcentral is "partial 16S ribosomal RNA". It matches the Rfam family "Bacterial small subunit ribosomal RNA", at positions 524 to 776 of the family's 1533-position model. The record is from RNAcentral.